Molecule: ribosomal RNA, 461 nt
Filed under: Escherichia coli
Lineage: Bacteria; Pseudomonadati; Pseudomonadota; Gammaproteobacteria; Enterobacterales; Enterobacteriaceae
Description: partial 23S ribosomal RNA
Rfam family: Bacterial large subunit ribosomal RNA
Source: RNAcentral
CGGGACACGUGGUAUCCUGUCUGAAUAUGGGGGGACCAUCCUCCAAGGCUAAAUACUCCUGACUGACCGAUAGUGAACCAGUACCGUGAGGGAAAGGCGAAAAGAACCCCGGCGAGGGGAGUGAAAAAGAACCUGAAACCGUGUACGUACAAGCAGUGGGAGCACGCUUAGGCGUGUGACUGCGUACCUUUUGUAUAAUGGGUCAGCGACUUAUAUUCUGUAGCAAGGUUAACCGAAUAGGGGAGCCGAAGGGAAACCGAGUCUUAACUGGGCGUUAAGUUGCAGGGUAUAGACCCGAAACCCGGUGAUCUAGCCAUGGGCAGGUUGAAGGUUGGGUAACACUAACUGGAGGACCGAACCGACUAAUGUUGAAAAAUUAGCGGAUGACUUGUGGCUGGGGGUGAAAGGCCAAUCAAACCGGGAGAUAGCUGGUUCUCCCCGAAAGCUAUUUAGGUAGCGCC